RNAcentral lists this long non-coding RNA (817 nucleotides) under Chinchilla lanigera (long-tailed chinchilla). RNAcentral describes it as "lncRNA (ENSCLAG00000027361.1)". The record is from RNAcentral. Lineage: Eukaryota; Metazoa; Chordata; Mammalia; Rodentia; Chinchillidae.
UGGCUUUAAACAGAAUGACAUGGUCCCAUCAGUGAAGCCCCUGACCUUGUAAUCAAGUGACAAUUGACACAGGAGGCAUAGCAUGGGCUUAUGAGAAGAGCUGAGGCCAGAGCUGUGACAGACAGCAGCGCUGGUGGCCUGGCAAGUGCAGCCUCACAAUCGAACUGUGAGGGUGGUAUUAGUGCUGUGCAGCCCCUUACCAGUAAGAACAGUAAGCUGCUCUCUGGCACCGCAGACUCUGGAAGCCAGCGAACUCAGCUCCAUCCGAGCUCUGUACAGUGAACGCUGAGCUCCAGUCACCAGCAGAUUGAUCUUCAAUUCCACUAAUCCAGAAGAUUCCACAGGAGCCACAUGUGCAUCCACCAGCAGCUGUCAGUGGGCUGUGGGGUUGGCAAGGAACCAUCAGCUGCUUGACCCAAGAGUGUCUUUCUUCAUGUGAGUAACCAUCACAGCAGUCUUGUCCCCAAAGGGAUUUAGCUGUAGAUUAGUUCAUUUCCUGGAUUCCUGGGGUUUCUUUUUUUCUUUAAGGCUACAGCCCCCCAAAGCAUCCAUGCCCUAAUCUUUUUUUUUUUUUUUUUUUUUUUUUUCUUUUUUUAAAAAAAUGUAAAACUGCCCUAAUCUUUUUUUUUUUUUUUUUUUUUUUUUUUUUUUUGCAUUGCUUAAAAGAUGUGAAAACUCUGACUAAGUUUUAUUUUAUUUUAUUUUAUUUUUUUUGUUUUUCUCUGGUACCGGGAACCAAACUCACGACCUUGCGCUUGCCAGGCAGGCGCUUUGCCGCUGAGCUAAAUCCCCAGCCCCUCCAACUAAAUUUUAAAAA